Molecule: long non-coding RNA, 5531 nt
Organism: Gallus gallus (chicken)
Lineage: Eukaryota; Metazoa; Chordata; Aves; Galliformes; Phasianidae
Exons: 5
Source: RefSeq, a predicted model, not a curated record
CGCCGCCUCCUCACUGCGGCACCGCAGGGGACGAACUCACUCUCGCCCUCCGUGACAGAACCCCAACUCCCCUUCUGGAACCGAGGCCAGCCCAGGGUACAGUGAGCUGAGGGUACGCAGCCGGGAGCCCGAAGGCAGCCGACAUCCUCCAUGCCCCUCAGCCACCACCGCCUCCUCACGCCAGACGGCCCCCGACCGCGCGCGGCCGCUCACCGGCUCCAGCGCGCAGUACUUCCGGCAUUGCCAGCUGACGCGAAGCAUGACGCUACCGCGCCUCUAUCACCUGACCGAGGAGGGCGGGAAGGGAGCGGGCGCGUGGAGGAGAAGCGACCGUUGCGCACGCGCCCGUCCGUUGGCUCCGCCUGAGGCGGGACGGGGCGGGAAUGUCAGUCAGCGCAGCGCUGCUCCCUUGUGGCGGCGCGGUGUGGUGCAGGUAGUGCCCGCGGCAGCCCUGCCCAAACCGGCCGUUUCUGAAGGUUCUUUUCUGUGCCGUCCUGAGUGCAUUCGCUGUAACAACUGCACGAAUAGGCGAGAAGAUACGAAGUACACUCUGUUUACGGCUCGUGAAGUAAUAUGGACUGAAAACCACCCUCUGCUCCUCCUCUGUGGUUAUACCAGAUCAGUCGGCACAAGGAUGCUCUUCUUUGAAUAUGCUUCUGAUGUGCUAGUGAAGUGUUCAAGGAUUCCAGAUUUAUCAAGCAUAUUUAGUCAGCUGAAUCUCUGCAGGUGAUCAUAUAAAUGCAUGGUGGUUGAAUGCUAGAGACAUUCCCAGUUUUAUGUCAGCAAAUGUCCUCGGCCCAGUUAUGCCAUCCGUGACACUUGGUACCACAGCUGCUGCCAAUAUAUGUAGUCCCUAAUACAAUAUAGGCAUUGUCUCUGAAGCCUUUACCUUCAAUGAUACCUGGCAAGAGAAAUAAUCUGAGCAAGACACAGAUUGAACAGGUGGUCAACAAGCUGUUUUAAAACCCAGCUUUUGGGCACAGAAAGCCAUGCUCAACAGGUGGAGAAGGCAGCCACCAGUGGGUUAUGGGGGUUUUCCAGGAGGUUGAGACCUGUGCUGGUAAUGUUUAACACCCCUAUCGCCAGGUUGGAUGAGGAAACCCUGCUCGGGCCUCUGGAUGACACCACAGUGAGGGCAGCAGCUGAAAGGCUGCAGGACUGAGCUCCAUGAGGAGCCUCAACACCCUGCUGUGGCUGAGUGGAGCCUCACCAAGGCCAGCAAAGACACGUCAAAUGGGAAAUCUGUACCUGGAAGAGACUAACUCUGCAUAUUGCCUGCUACAUCACUGUAGGCUGGGGACUCCCUGGAUGGCAGCUUUGCAGGGGUUAAAUAAUGCAGAGAAUGAAACACAUAUUAGAUGGCAGGAUCCAUUUCCAGAUUACACGCCUCCUUUAAUAAACUUGCAUGCUACGUCGUACUUGAUACAGAAUCCCACAAUUCUGCUCAUUUCCCACUAGAUGUCCCCAUUGACACAAAGAAAAGUGGAAGGGUAACUGUCAAAUAGACUUCAGACUUCUCUUCGUUGUGACCAUUUCCUGGAGCGGAAGGGACCAAGAUGUGACUGUCUGGCUAUUUGACUGCAACCCACUUCUGUGCCUGGCUUGGUUUGAUGACAUAUACCAAAUGUAGCCAUGACCACGACAUGGUUUUGGCAGACUUAGAAGCCUAAGAUUGCUGUAUUAAAAUGCUUCUUAAUCCUCCAGAAACUCAAGGACAUACCUGCCAAUUAAAAAGAACUUCAGUUGGAAGCUGAGGAAGAAUCACCUGUUACAUUUGCUGGGCGAUAUGAAAAAAAGAUAAGAUGGCCACAAUCAUCCAAAAGAAUCAAGGAAUCACAGAAUCAUGGAACAGAUGAAGUUGAAAGGGAUCUCUGGAGACCAUGUGGUCCAACCUCCCCGCACAGGCAGGAUCACCCAAAGAUGCUUGCCAAGGCCAACAGGAACUGAUCAACCUGGAAUUGGCUCUAGCAGUCAAAAGCUACUAGCUUGUCUCUGCUUCUGGCUGGAUUUGGGACAAUCUCCAGACGAAGAGGAGCAGUGUCAGAAUGCACACAGCAGACAACAAAUAAGAAACAACAACCCAAACUGCUCUCACACACUGGCCAUGUUCUCUCUGACUGGAAGGACCACCUCAGCCCUUUGUGAAGCCUGAGAACAUGUUUGCUUUCAGCUGCCAUGUCAAGAGGGAAUAUUUUACUAGAAGCAGUGAGGAGACACCACCACCAAAAGAGAACUGCAGAAAAGGAACAGCAGUCAUUUGGGUGUUCAUGUUCAAUAACAAUGAAACAAGAAUGAGAUUUUAAAAGCAUUGGAAGCAUACAUGCACCAGGGUUAGUAGGAUGGUUCUUCUAUUGUAGUACAGAUCAGACAAAUCGUGCAGACAAAUGAUCUUUGGCUUUCAAAGAUACGUCACAGGAUCAAGAGAGGAUUUAUGAAGGGGUUCCAGGCUACAGUCCUAGCAACCCUAGGGAAUAAUGCUGUCAUUUUGGAAAUGUGUCAGAGAACAGAGAACUACACUGCAUCAUUAUGUCUUCACUCAUCCAAAACAGAAACCUUAGAUAAGUGAAAUAAGUCUGUGAUGAGGAUAAACACGCUAUCGUAUGAUAAGAUUUCAGGAAUUUAUCCAGACAUCCAGAACAACGACAGACAGGAUAUAUGAAAAGAAUGAGUCUCUGUAUUUACUGUCUGAAAUAACAUUUGGAUGGUGUCUCUUGCUUGUGUACACUCCAGGAUUUUCCAAGUCCUGCUCCCCUGGCCUUCAGAAAGCCAGAGGUCAAAGUAACAUAUAAAAAUCUGAAUGAAUAUUAAGAUUUGAGCAUUUCUCACCUCCUGGUAAAAGAAACAAACAAAUAAACCUUAUUCUUCAGUACACUUUCUGGAAAAGACCUAUCCAUUGCAAUGUAGCCCGUCAGUCCAUCCAUUAUGCAUUAUGCUUAGUCCUAUGCUGUUUCUAGCAUUUCUUGUUUCUCUCUUUAGAGAGAUCUUAGACACAUUACUCUAGAACUGACUUAAAAAAAAAAUAAAAUCUAGAUUCGAAGUCUUUCUUGCUUCAUGAUGCUUAAAAGCUUCUUUGUCUGUUAUUUCUUCUAGCUUAGGCAACGUCACAGGUUCUGCUCAAGGAAGUGAAUAACCAGGAUUUUUGGAAGAAAUCUUUAACAGUCCCAAAGAACUCCAAGCUAUAAAAUAUGGGGUACCAUUGGGCAUGCAAAUUAAUUUACAGAUGAGUCCAAAGUAGUUUCAGUUAUUUGCAGUGUAAUACAUGGCUGCUCAGUUGAAGAAAUAAACUUGGAACAACAAGCAGUACUAAUUACCUAUAUCCUCCUGUAACCAACACUUGUCCUUUUCAGACUAUUUAUCUAAAUUGCUUGGCAGCUCAGCUGUCUCUCUCCCGUCUCCUGAGGAAUACUAUCACAUGCAAUAUGGCACGCAGAAACAAUUUAUAUGCCAGGCAAAUUAUUUCCGCAGCAGUAUUCCUCAUAAUGUGCUUACAGUUGCAUCCCAUCGAAAGGUAAGUAUCAUAAUUUGUGACUGCUAUAGAAGUCUUCCUUGACACUUUUUGAGAAAUAUAACCAGAAUCAUGGCAAAGCUUCAGCUUUGGUAAUUGCAUUCUGUGCAUCUGUAGUUCUUUUCUAACAGCUGACAAAUUCUACCUUAGAUGCGACUGGUGCCAUCUCCAGAUUCCAGGAAGCUGUUAAAUCAAAGAACAAACUUCAGAAUGAGAAAAAUAAUUACAAGCCUUAUUUCCCUUACUUCUCACGUCUUUGCCUACAGGUAUUUCUGCAGUCUUGUUAAGCCCAUAGAAUCCCAUCGCAGCAAUUGCUGGACUCAGUAGAAACCACAGAAGUAUCUCUCUGAGAACAUUUCUCUCUUUGAUGAGGACUGAUCAGGAACCCAGAAAGAAUACCUUUGGUACAUUAAAGCUCAGUUCCCUCAGCCUACGCCAGAAACACAGUAUCAUUUAGCUACCUGCCACUUAUAAGUUUCUAAAAAGUAGCUAAAAAGGCAGACCCACAGUGACACAGAUAAUAGCAACAAAUAUUAUCUUCUGACAAUCAAAUCCAAAUGGAGUUUUUCUAAAAUACACAAGACUUGUAAUGAACUAUGCAUAAUUUCCCAUUGCAGCGUUUUCACGAGGUAUGAUUUCCUAUUGAGCAAAAUUAAAACAAAAAAUUGAUCUGAAAAAGCUACUAAGGCAACAGCUCCAACAAAGAAAAUAAGAGUUAUCUGACACACAUGAGAACUGAUAGAAAAACAGCACUGAGUGACAUAAACAGCUUUCUAUCCUUGGGACUUCAGGUCUACUAACUUCAAACAACUUGGAAUGGAGUACAGCAUGCUAUGAGAAGCACUCCUUUAAACAAAGAAUUAAACAAAGAAAAACAAAACCUGAACCAUUAUGAGGUGCUGUCUUUAUUGCAUGCCAAUAGAAUGUCCUUGCUCAGCUUAUCAACUUUCAAAAAAGCCCCAACCAUGACAUUAGCAGCAGCAACUCUGCAAGCUAAGACCUGAAUAACUCAUCACUUGCUCACGCCUGCAGGCUGAGCACUUGUCAUAGUGUCAGGUAUUGAAAAGGCUGGCAAUUUGCUGCAAACGUGAGUGCUGGAUGUACAAUAGCCAUCUCAAGUUAUUUUUUCUUAUUUUCAGAAAACAAUUUUCUGGGCCAUUUAAGUUGGAAAUGUCACCAUUCAAACAUGAAGCAAAUAACGCUGCUCUAAGAGAGCAUCACUUCUCUUUCGAUUAAAUGAUGGCAAAUAAAACACUAUUUUUACAUCACAUCAUAAAAUGUAUAAGAUUUGCUUUAAACCAGCGAAAUUCAAUCACAUAUUGGAAAUUAAGUUAAUACUGGAGAAGGUUAGCAUAGCUGAAUCAGGAUCUUUCAAGGCAAAGUUGCUCUGGUCAGUAGGACUGAGGCUGAGGAGGUGCGGUCAUCCCUCUUCUGUGUCUCUUAACAGAGGUUGUAGAUGUCAGUGUUUCUCAGCCUAAUUUCCUUUUUGUUCUUGCCUGUUUGAACAAAGCAAACAAAAAGCUGUGUACUAAAGCAAGACCUCACUGCUAAAAAGUCAAGCAUGGUCCUUUUUGGGAAUGCAGAGUUAACCUGGGAAGGGUAAGCAUUCAAAAAUACUGAGAACUGUCCCAAAACCAAUACUGACCUAUAUAAUAUAAUAGGUUUUGAUUACUGAGGCAUGAAUUUAAGUUCUGAUUUAAGUGAAUAGGCUCAGAGCCAAAGCUAUCAAUGGAAUUAUAUCUGCUUAUGCUGCUGGGAAGUUCUGCUCUUUGCACAGCAAUCAGUGAGUUGUAAAAUGAGGACUUAAUGUUACUUGCUUGGACUCAUUUCAAAAGCAAUUGCUGCACCUGUUCAUACCAAUGCAUACACAACAAUUUCCUUUAUUUUUCCCAGUAACCAGCACAAUAAAACCUGAAUUUAAAUCAUAAAGCUUUGAUUUACAUUCCUAAUUAUUUAUUUAUUCUUUAAUAACCACUUGCUUUCCAAAAGGCAUUUUUUUCCUAAAAUGAAAUAUAUAUAUAAAAAA